RNAcentral lists this ribosomal RNA (253 nucleotides) under uncultured bacterium. RNAcentral describes it as "partial 16S ribosomal RNA". It matches the Rfam family "Bacterial small subunit ribosomal RNA", at positions 524 to 776 of the family's 1533-position model. The record is from RNAcentral.
UACGUAGGGCGCAAGCGUUAUCCGGAAUUAUUGGGCGUAAAGAGCUCGUAGGCGGUCUGUCGCGUCUGCUGUGAAAACCCGAGGCUCAACCUCGGGCCUGCAGUGGGUACGGGCAGACUAGAGUGCGGUAGGGGAGAAUGGAAUUCCUGGUGUAGCGGUGGAAUGCGCAGAUAUCAGGAGGAACACCGAUGGCGAAGGCAGUUCUCUGGGCCGUAACUGACGCUGAGGAGCGAAAGCGUGGGGAGCGAACAGG